AGUGAAAAGGCCAGAACAAUUUUUAGAGUAAACACAGUAAAAAAAUCCUUUUUUACUGAGAUCUCAAGCAUGUUUUGGUUGUUCCUGCAACAACAACAGAAAAUUCAGUACACUACACAAGAGCAGGAAGUAAGGGGUCAAACUUGCUACUGGAAACAACAGGAAAAUAUAUGCAAAGAAAACACUAAGCUGGCCCAUCUUGGCGGCGGCUACUGAAUAUAUAGUAUGUUUAGCUUUAAAACCUUGUAUGCGCUUGAUUUGGCAGCUAAUUUAUAUCAGGUCAAGUAGACAAGAAAACAAUUAUCCUAGUAGUAUUAUCGCAAAAGAAAUGAUUAAUCUACGGCUGCCUACCUCCGUGAAAUUGCUCUCCUUCUGCGCACUGUUACAACAACAUUUUCUUCCAAGAUGGCCACACUACUGAAUGAGAGUAAGUAAAUUUUCUAUAUAAGCACCUACAUAUUCCCUCCAUUCCUAAAUAUAAGUCCUUGUAGAGAUUCCAAUAUGAACUGCAUACGGAGCAAAAUGAGUGCAUCUAUAUUCUAAAAUAUGUCUAUAUACAUCUGUAUGUAGUCCCUGGGAAAUCUCUAAAAAGACUUAUAUUUAGAAAUGGAGGGAAUAUAACUUUGCCUAAUGAAUGAGCACAGUAGCAAACUCAAUGACUCAUUUUUUGUUCUUCCUAAUUGAACCUUCUUAAUGAUAAAAUUCCAGACCACAUAAAAUUGAGUCUAGGUUGGAUCAGACUCACCGGAGCGCAGAGCUCGGCCGGCCGCCGAGAAUGACAAAGAUAGGCCUGGGAUGGAAGGUGCAGGAGGUCGAACCUCCGCCCUGCCCCUCCUGCCCUAUGUACUGCAUUUGGGCAAUAAAAGGAGCACGGAACUGCCCUGCUGCAAAAAUUAAACAGAUCCACCAGACUUGGCCCCAGCAGUCCUUAACAAAAAAGUUGUAGUCUCCUUGUACACCAAACCACUUUUCCUA
Molecule: long non-coding RNA, 975 nt
Filed under: Triticum aestivum (bread wheat)
Lineage: Eukaryota; Viridiplantae; Streptophyta; Magnoliopsida; Poales; Poaceae
Description: long non-coding RNA (TAES_LNC014009)
Source: RNAcentral